GAUGAAGAACGUAGUGAAAUGCGAUAAGUAAUGUGAAUUGCAGAAUUCAGUGAAUCAUCGAAUCUUUGAACGCACCUUGCGCCCUUUGGACAUUCCGAAGGGCAUGCCUGUUUGAGUAUCAUGAACACCUCAACUCUCAUGGCUUGUCUGUGAUGAGCUUGGACUUUGGGGGUCUUGCUGGCCUGUGGUCGGCUCCUCUCAAAUGGAUCAGCUUGCCAGUGUUUGGUGGCAUCACAGGUGUGAUAACUAUCUGCGCUUGUGGUUUUCCAUCAGAUAACCUUCAGUGAUAUGGAGGUUCGCUGGAGCUCACAAAUGUCUCUCCUUAGUGAGGACAGCCCUUUGAACGUUUGAUCUCAAAUCAGGUAGGACUACCCGCUGAACUUAAGCAUAUCAAUAAGCGGAGGA
Molecule: unclassified non-coding RNA, 405 nt
Filed under: soil metagenome
Description: partial contains 5.8S ribosomal RNA, internal transcribed spacer 2, and large subunit ribosomal RNA
Rfam family: 5.8S ribosomal RNA (bases 1-121)
Source: RNAcentral